Long non-coding RNA from Pongo pygmaeus (Bornean orangutan), 757 nucleotides. RefSeq lists it as uncharacterized. The record is from RefSeq and is a predicted model, not a curated record. The transcript is spliced from 6 exons. NCBI's taxonomy places the organism in Eukaryota, Metazoa, Chordata, Mammalia, Primates, Hominidae.
AGCAUGAACCAAUAAAAAGAUCUAAUUAAAGUGAUUUACAAACUUCAAUUGGUUUCCACCAUGACAAGCAUCAUGCAGUUUCUCAAGACAACAAAGUAACACUGGCAGGUUAGCUGAGGCUUAUUAACAAGACAGCACAGGAGUUUUAAAAGCCUCAAGAUAAAGAGUCUCAAUGUCUCUCUCCCAAGGUCAGCCUUAGUAAUGCAAGGGAAGGAAUGGUCCUGGAGAAACUCUAAGAGGGUAGACAAGAAUCAGAAGUUAAAUGCCUCUUUACCUUCAAUGGGUCAGUCUGAUGUAUUCCGCAUGGCUCUGCAAAAGGUCUCAGACCUUAAUUAAAAAAAUCGGGGCAAGGAAGAGAAGCGUUAUUCAUUGGGAUGCCUCAGAGACUUCAGCUCUCAUUAUAUAAAAUAAAUGGUUACGGAAGCAGAGAACACUGUGAAUAUCCAAAUUGAAUCAUUCUGCAUGUGAUGUAAAACCUUUGACUAUAUUAUGAAGAUGUAAAAAUUACAAAGGAGCACUGAGACAUGAAUGAAAUUCCCCCAGAGAAUCAUUAGAUGAUGUAUCAACUUGACAAAAUACACCCAAGUAUUUGUCUAUUUCUGUCCGUCAUCACUAACAAUUCCCAGAUCCAAGACAUCAUCAUUUUUCACCUGGACUACCGCAUUGGCUGAAAUUAAAAAUCUGAACUUCCUGGUUUGAAUCCUCAUUUGACUUCUCAUUUCAUUAAAAAUAAAAUUUGAACUUUUAUUCAUGUUUG